This 146-nucleotide small nucleolar RNA is filed under the name Sphenodon punctatus (tuatara). RNAcentral describes it as "Small nucleolar RNA SNORD94 (ENSSPUG00000004705.1)". It matches the Rfam family "Small nucleolar RNA SNORD94". Rfam says of the family: The members of this family belong to the C/D class of snoRNAs which contain the C (UGAUGA) and D (CUGA) box motifs. Lineage: Eukaryota; Metazoa; Chordata; Lepidosauria; Sphenodontia; Sphenodontidae. The record is from Rfam by way of RNAcentral.
AUGGCGAUGAUGAUUGGCGCAGGGGUACGGACCUCAGCUAGAUCAUGGGAGCUGAGUGUGAACUUGGCUGUUUUUCAGGGUGGCUGGCAUGUGGCCGGCUUCCUGGAAACGCGUUCACAUGAGAACUUCGCCUACAGCUGAGCCAU